Molecule: ribosomal RNA, 300 nt
Filed under: Scytonema bohnerii Ind24
Lineage: Bacteria; Bacillati; Cyanobacteriota; Cyanophyceae; Nostocales; Scytonemataceae
Description: bacterial SSU rRNA
Rfam family: Bacterial small subunit ribosomal RNA
Source: RNAcentral
AUGGGCGAAAGCCUGACGGAGCAAUACCGCGUGAGGGAGGAAGGCUCUUGGGUUGUAAACCUCUUUUCUCAAGGAAUAAUAAGUUGAAGGUACUUGAGGAAUCAGCGUCGGCUAACUCCGUGCCAGCAGCCGCGGUAAUACGGAGGAUGCAAGCGUUAUCCGAAAUGAUUGGGCGUAAAGGGUCCGCAGGUGGUCAGACAAGUCUGUUGUUAAAGAAUCUGGCUUAACUAGAUAAAUGCAAUGGAAACUGUAAGACUAGAGGAUAGUAGGGGUAGAGGGAAUUCCCAAUGUACCGGUGAA